ACUCCUACGGGAGGCAGCAGUGGGGAAUAUUGGACAAUGGGCGCAAGCCUGAUCCAGCCAUGCCGCGUGAGUGAUGAAGGCCCUAGGGUUGUAAAGCUCUUUUGUGCGGGAACCCAAUGACGGUACGGCAAGAAUAAGCACCGGCUAAAUUCGUGCCAGCAGCCG
Molecule: ribosomal RNA, 165 nt
Filed under: uncultured bacterium
Lineage: Bacteria
Description: partial 16S ribosomal RNA
Rfam family: Bacterial small subunit ribosomal RNA
Source: RNAcentral